This 1167-nucleotide ribosomal RNA is filed under the name Forsteropsalis sp. MCZ IZ 136139. RNAcentral describes it as "SSU rRNA". It matches the Rfam family "Eukaryotic small subunit ribosomal RNA", at positions 613 to 1804 of the family's 1831-position model. Lineage: Eukaryota; Metazoa; Arthropoda; Arachnida; Opiliones; Neopilionidae. The record is from RNAcentral.
UUGCGGUUAAAAAGCUCGUAGUUGAAUCUCAGUUCCAGACAGGCGGUCCGCUCCGGUGGUUACUGCCUGGCCUGAACAUCCUGACGGUUUUCCUUCUGUGCUCUUGACUGAGUGUCGUAGGUGCCCGUCACGUUUACUUUGAAAAAAUUGGAGUGCUCAAAGCAGGCGUUCCGCCUGAAUAAUGGUGCAUGGAAUAAUGAAAGAGGACUUCGAGUUCUAUUGUGUUGGUUUUCGGAACACGAGGUAAUGAUUAAAAGGGACAGACGGGGGCAUUCGUAUUGCGACGCUAGAGGUGAAAUUCUUGGACCGUCGCAAGACGAACUACAGCGAAAGCAUUUGCCAAGAAUGUUUUCAUUAAUCAAGAACGAAAGUUAGAGGUUCGAAGGCGAUCAGAUACCGCCCUAGUUCUAACCAUAAACGAUGCCAACCAGCGAUCCGCCUGAGUUACUCAAUUGACUCGGCGGGCAGCUUCCGGGAAACCAAAGUUUGUGGGUUCCGGGGGAAGUAUGGUUGCAAAGCUGAAACUUAAAGGAAUUGACGGAAGGGCACCACCAGGAGUGGAGCCUGCGGCUUAAUUUGACUCAACACGGGAAAACUUACCCGGCCCGGACACCGGAAGGAUUGACAGAUUAAGAGCUCUUUCUUGAUUCGGUGGGUGGUGGUGCAUGGCCGUUCUUAGUUGGUGGAGCGAUUUGUCUGGUUAAUUCCGAUAACGAACGAGACUCUAGCCUACUAAAUAGGCGACCGAUCACUUGUGUCGGUCUUCCUUCUUAGAGGGACAAGCGGCGUUUAGCCGCACGAGACAGAGCAAUAACAGGUCUGUGAUGCCCUUAGAUGUCCGGGGCCGCACGCGCGCUACACUGAAGGAAUCAGCGUGUGUUUACCCCUGUCCGGCAGGACUGGGUAACCCGAUGAACCUCCUUCGUGAUAGGGAUAGGAGCUUGUAAUUGUUCUCCUUGAACGAGGAAUUCCCAGUAAGCGCGAGUCAUAAGCUCGUGUUGAUUACGUCCCUGCCCUUUGUACACACCGCCCGUCGCUACUACCGAUUGAAUGAUUUAGUGAGGUCUUCGGACUGGUGCUCGGAGCGGCUCUCGGGUCGCACCGCCGUACCGGAAAGAUGACCAAACUUGAUCAUUUAGAGGAAGUAAAAGUCGUAACAAGGUUUCC